Molecule: long non-coding RNA, 211 nt
Filed under: Elaeis guineensis (African oil palm)
Lineage: Eukaryota; Viridiplantae; Streptophyta; Magnoliopsida; Arecales; Arecaceae
Description: long non-coding RNA (EGUI_LNC028837)
Source: RNAcentral
UGGCAAGGGUUUGUCUAUAAGCCCACCGACGGAGUUUGUCUCUGAUGCGGGACCUUCCACUCGCCGGAGAAGCAGUGCCGGCCGGAGAAGGAACCUACGGUGGUGGGUGUGGGGCCUGACAAUCUCACCCAUGUGGAGGGGAUGGAAGGUGGCCAGAGGAUGGUGGGGCCCCCUCUUGGGCCUUGGCUGCUAGCCGUCCAUCGACGGGAGG